AUAUGGGCAUUUCCACGGUAAUAGGGUACUUCUGUGUGUGAAAGAAUAAAGCGCUUACAGAAAAAUUAAAUAAAUAUCCUGUGGCUUUCUGUGUUUUUAUUUUCAUUGUUGAUGGUAUAAAGAAAUAAAAAAGACAAUUCCAUGCACUAAUAAUGUCAUUUGGUUGUGUUGUCCUCUUUUCUUUAAUGAUUAUUAUUAAAAAUUCCAAAGUACAAUCAGUAAAUGUUGAGUGGUGUGAUUUUGAGGGUGAUGCAAAUAAAAAUUCUAAAAAGAAAUUGAUGUUUCAUGUUUUGAAAAGAGAUUUUGAUGCGGGUGGAUUACGGCAUUGAUCAUAGUUACGGCGAUUGAGCUUUAAAGAGGGAGAGUGAGAGAGUUGAAAAUUACAUUGGCUGAAUGAGAGAUUCUGUCCACCUGUGUUACGUACGUUCAGAGUGAAUUUUCCCACAAUUAUUAGUUGUGUCACCCAACAGUUUUAUGUGCUUUGCAACUCUUUUGAUGAAGGUUGAAAUGUAGACCAAGAAAAAAAUCGUCAAAAUAAACGCAAAUAGAGAUAAAAUCUAUUCAAAAUUUGGAGUGCAAUAUUCGGUCCAACUCACGAACGUACGUAACAACUAAAAAACCGGACCGUGGCGUCCGCGAAUAUGACGCAUGGAUAAUCCACGUAUCAGUCAAGUGAACCAAGGCACUGCAACGUUUGAUUGUACUUGCAAUCCAUGCGCUGACUUCUACAAUCGCGGGGCCGUGUAGCUCUAUAUAACUUCUGUCCAGUUUGUGCGUACGUUCACGGUUGCUGGUAGUUAGAACGACACGUACGCACGUAUGACAGAACAUGUUUUCUGUCCUAUUUACGUACGUGUCGGACGUGAGCAGCAGACGACAUCCGAUCGUAAUUAGAUUAGGCUUUGAAAAUCGUGGAAUGGUGAAAGAUGUUGUGGGAGAAGAUCUUGUCAUCAAGUACAUGGCCGAGUCGGAGUCUCAUCCGGGGCUAUUUAUAUGGCCAGCACGUGAGGAUGUGUCUCGGGAAUGUAGAAAACAGAUAGUGAAGAAAAUGCCUAACCCUGUCCUUCGGGAAGACAUCAGCAGCACUAGAUUACAAUUUUUCACCUUUGCAGAACUCUCCCCAGAAUCAUGACUUGUUCCAUACAAUUUAUGAAUGUCUUAUUACUCAUAGAUUGGUUAAUAAUGAAUCGAGUCAUUCCAACUUCUUCAGAGAACUUGUGUAAAGUCCAGCACACCCGAUAUCGUCCCAAACCAUCGGUUUUAAAAUCCUUACAAUAUUCUCUGACUCUCGUGUAAGAGGAAAACCUAGAACUGCGUGUAUUGAUGUUAAAAAGGAGACAUGAUUAAAUGGCUGGAUCGUGCUAAUUUAUUGUUCUCACGUUGUACUUCAGUAAGGUUUUAAUCACCUCGAUAGACUUGUGUGUUAUGAAAACAAAUAAAAUUCAUGGAAAAUUGGCACAAAGACACAAUUAUUUACUGAAAAUAUUUAAUGAAUGCUCAAUUGAAUUGAUGCAUUAUAAUAUGCAAAAUAACCCAUUGAGUAUGCAGUGUCAAAUCUUUUUUGAAUUUCAGAUCUGAAUUACAUCAAAAUGAUUGUUAUAAAUACAUGUAUUUGAUUUGAACUUACUUGAAAUGAAUGAUCAUAAUUUUGAGCAAAAAUAGAAUUAAAUAGAGCAUUUAUGAAAAAUUAAGAAAUAUAAAAGGUAAAUAUCAUACACAUUGUAGUUAGCAGAUAAAAGAACUCUAGAAUAAAAGCAUACAAAUCCUGUAUAGACAAUUUGUAAUUAACGACAUGAUGUUUGUGAAAUAUCAAUGAAUAGUGUUUGCCUUUUAUUCUAUAUUGUGUCAACUACUUUCCCAGUCUUGAUGGGAAUUGAUUACAAGCUAAUGCUUACAUGUAGUGAAAUGCAUGCUCAAUAUUAUUGUUUAACAGUCUGUUAUUAUUGGGCUCUGUGUCCGAGACACAUUUUGGCUACUGACUAUUAAAGACAUCACCUAGACUACUUUUAAAUUUGUAUAUAAGGUUUUGUGAAAUUUCAAUUUCAAUGAAAUGAUUAGUGUUUGCCUUUUAUUCUAUAUUGUGCCAACUUCUUUCCAUGUGACUAUAGUUACUAUCUUAUCAUUUUUAAAUUUGAAUUUGCAAUUCAGGUGUUCAUAAUUUUAUAAAUUUAUAUAAAUGGUUCAUCCAUGGACAAUUUAAGUUGUACACUGAAGUUUGUUGCUUGCUUUUGCAGUUGGUCAAAAGAUUAAUGAGAGGUGAGAUAAGAUUUCAAAACUAUCAAUUAAUCUAUUUUACAGAUUUACAAACCGUAUAUCAGUUGGCAAAUUCAUUGAUUUCAUUAUACUUAAUAAUUAAAGACCAUUCACAUUUCACUUAUUCUCCAUAAAUCUGCAGCUUUUGAAGUUCUGAUACGGAACACAUGUAACAUUGGCCAGGCAGUGAUUUGAAACAAAAUGAAUUUACAAUGACCUAAACACAAAACAAUUUAAAAUGAUCAAUACAAUGAAACAUUUUAACCUAUGCAACGCUUAUGAAUAUAUUGAUUAUGAAAUAUGUGUCCCAAAACAGAAUUCAAACAAACGUUUAGAUGCCUGUUCUGUCCAACCGUUACAUACGUUCCCUAUUCUUAUUAAUUGGUUCCAACAUGCAUCAACAAUUAUAACUUCUAGAUUUUAUUUUAUCCUGGAAUAUAUGAACAUAGCAUCAACAUCCAGUACACAGUGACACCAAAUUAAUAGAGUACGCACCAUUAAAACAUGUGUGAAAGAUUUAUUCAUUCAAUAAUACAUGAUACAUUGCAAACAUUCCUUAAAUAUUUGUUUUUCUGAUUCACAAAAAAA
RNAcentral lists this long non-coding RNA (2841 nucleotides) under Strongylocentrotus purpuratus (purple sea urchin). Its description in RNAcentral is "uncharacterized LOC115924220". Lineage: Eukaryota; Metazoa; Echinodermata; Echinoidea; Camarodonta; Strongylocentrotidae. The record is from RNAcentral.